GCUUACUUUUACUGAUCUGGAAGCAAAGCAGACACCGAAUCUGGUUUUGCUAGAGUUUUAUUGCAAUGGAAUAAUUUGUUCCUAGUAUGUCAACUGUAGUAUAAAGUGUUUAGGCAAAAGACCUCUCUUUUUCUUUGUCCUUCUUUAAGUUCUCUUCAGUUUUUGAACUUGGCUUUGUGUGAUUAUUAGAAGCAUAUGCUAUGCACUCUUAAUUAACAGUCUUAUGAAAGGGAGAAAUGUUUAACUGUUACCAAAGCCCAUAACACUUGAAAGUGAAGAAGUUAAAGUAACUUAGCAAGGACAAUUCCAUAGAUCGUGUUUCAAAUAAAUACACACUAAUACUCUGUAUAAUUCGGUAAUUAUCCCCUUGACAUCUCCAUUACUGUUGCUUCCUGGUGAAAACAACAUAUUUUGUCAUAAUUUGUAAAUGAAGACCAAAUUAAAAACAAAAGCAAAAUGUGCUCAUAAAACUUCUAUAUAUUAUUCAGAUGUCUCUUUGAAGUAGUAUAGUUACUUAUUGGAAAGAAAAAGCUCUAUCCAUUUCUUCUUAUAAAAUCUCUAAAUUAAAUUCCUAACUAAAACCUUAAACCCUUAAUUACCUUCUCUAAGAAAAAAAAACUCUUAAAUCAUUCCUAAAAGUCACAUUCUAUUUCAAAAGCCCUAGUCCUUGUCCUCCCCUUUGAAGACAAUCUUUGAGAUCCUCUCACUCAACUGUCUCGCUACAGGAUGCCUAGUGGAGUCAAUAGCGACACAAAUCUCACGAGUCACCUUGUGCCUAAACAUGAAAACUGUGAGAAAAUCGCAAUACAUACUGAGCUUAUACACUUUCACAAACGUGUUCCAUCCUGACAUCAACACAGGCGUCUUCUCAUUCCACAUCUUGAACAUCAUCUCAUGAGCCUUCCCGUCUGGUCCGUAAACCGAAACCCUAGUCCCCUCUUUCCCAAGCAGAGUAUCCGAUUCUUCAAGAAGAGGCAAAAAGUUCUUGUCCACUUGCACCUUACUUAGCAUAAGCCUGUUUUGAUCUCCCUUCACGUCGCUCUUUGUUAACUGCUUCCUUAUCGGUUUGCUGCAUCGUCCCAACACUGCCGUGGUCGCUUCCGGUAGAUUUUUUGGUGGAUCGCUGGUCCAUCGGAGGAGUAAGUCUAGGGUUUCUUCCGUAUCAUCCUUGAUGAUUUUCUUCUUCUUACCAGCUUGGAUUCUGUCGCGCAAGAACAUGAAGUGGCUUAAAGCAAAAGCAGCAGUAACCACCUCGUCCUGUUCUUGUCUCUUUUUUUCUUCUUCUGGAGUUAGUCUUUUUCUUUUUGCUCCUAUCGUUGAAGUUGCCAUGAUAUCUCUGUUUGUGUCAGCUGAAGAUACCUUGAAAUGCAAGGUUUCUAGGGCUUUCUCUUUUAUUUUCUCGCUUGUGAAAUUAGUAAAUCAAUUCCUUUAUAUACCCACUUACAAAAUAGACCUGUAUAAAAUAUCAAUAGCUUGUAGCAGCCCAGAAAAAAUCUUGUUUUGAGGCCCAAAGUCCAUUUAUUUGUGUAAAACAAUUUUAUACAAUUAUAUAAUGAUGUAAUCAGGAGCCGUGCGAGACAAGGUCCUGACUCCUAACAAGAGAAAGAAGCGAGGAAUACUCUUUACAUAAAUUACUUCCGUGAAUCACCGUAGCCUGGUUUAAUUGUUUUUACACCCAAGUUUGAAGGUUUGAAUCCCAGACUAUGCAAUUUCUUGCAGAUUACAAGAAAUUCAAGUUUUAAUUCUCGGAGAAAUCGAUUUAUUAAACAAUUAUACAGACUACGGAAGAAAGACUUACAAAGAAUCUUCAACAUGGUACAAGUAAAUCUAGUCAGAUGUGGAUUUUCAUAAGACGGCUCAGCUGAUGCAGUUAGGCAUAGGUCCUCAUAAAUCAGGUAGUCGAAUCGUAUAUGUAAUCUUUCUCAUAUCAUUGUAAUAUCAUAAUAAAUCAACGUUAAAAAAAGAUAAAUUACUUCUAUAAAUAUUUGAUUGUCUUAAAUUACAAAUAAAUACGGCUUGUAGAAGAAAUAAAAGAAUUGGGUUACACAAAUGCUAUAUGGCCAAAAUAUGAUUAAUACUAAACCCGGUAAAAAUAACACAAGGUUCCUAGUAUUAAUCGCAAAUUAACACAAUCAAUCAUAUUCCAGAAUCUAGCAUAAAGACUAAUUCCAGAAUACCUAACUAUCCACAACUUAGCGAUAUCAUCUAAGCAUUUCCUCAUUCGCUAACUAACCAAUCAACCUAACCAUUAGCAUGCUACUAUGGUUCUCAAGCAAUAACAAGCAUGCCAUCAACUCAAUCAACAUAACCUCAAUUAUUAACUAGUCAAACCGUUACUCAGUUAGACCAGGCCUCCUGCCAUGAUCCAACUUCCAAGUAACGGGAUCCUGCAUGAAAACAACUCAGCAAUCAAUUGAUUAUAACUCACAGUUUUUGGUUGACCGUGGCCUUGACCCCAAACCCGACUUCUGCGAUCCGAACCCUUUCUCGACCUUCUCAAGCAGACCCACGUCCAGACUGAUCUUUAACUGGUCUCCAUCAGAACUGAUCUCUCCUCAUUUGAACAGAACCUUCUCCAUAUGCUGACUCAAAAUCGGCAGAGUAACUGUUCUCGAAAACUGCCAAAAUCGCUCGAAAACUAUCGAAACUCGAUAUUUCUUUCUUUGCUUUCUCUCUCACGUUUUGAACUGACUUUCAUGUGUUCUGGAUGUGUUCAAAUGAGAGGGGCUCGUGGGCUAUUUAUAGACAUAAGCAGCCAAUCAAAUUCAAGCCGGACGCAUGCACGGCGACACCUCGUGCUCCACAUGGCUGGCUGCAUGUCUCAAUCUCAUGCAGGAUGACACCACGCCCUCUACCUGUCUGAAUGCAUGGCCUGGAUCCAUGCAAGGAGACACCUCGUCCUCCACAUGUCUGGCCGCAUGGCCCGGUCGCAUGCAUUGCAACACCUCGUGCUUGGCCGUUCCACCUCGUGCUUCUAUGUGUCACUCCGCAUGCUGUGAUCAUUUGUACUGCAACAGCUCGUGCUUCCCUUGCCACAUACCAUGCCAGGCAGUUGUCACCACGUCCUGAUCUGAUAGAUCGAGCCACCUCGAGCUUCUCGGUCCAUUCGUCCAAUUUUGGCCUUUCCGGUGAAUUUUUCGUCCCGCGAUCAAUCCCAAUAUUUUUCGACGCCCGUUCUGAUGAUCUGAUUAUUUUUAAUAAACUCCAAAUGAAUCCUGACUUGAUGAAAAAUAUUUCUCGAGUUUCCGGCUACUUCGAAAAAUUCCAUAAUACCGAAAUUAGGGUUUUUCGCCCAAUUUCCGGUCUUCCUUUUGUGCUUCCAAAAGUGUCAUGCUUCAAACGUCCUUUGAGUAAAUAUACCACAUUGUCUAACCACUGUCUAGUGGGAUACUUGACUCAUGGUUGAGACAAAAACAAUCUGAUCAUCCGUGACUCGAUCACCCAAAAGAUACUCGACCAUUUUUUUUAUUUUUAUUUUUUAUGGGUUUAUACAGUGUAGCUGAUGGAGUCCCAAACUUCCAAUAUAGUCGUUGGAAGGCUUCGUUGACUGUGGUCUUGUUUCCCGGUUGAUUCCGGUGGUUAGCAGCUUUGGUUAGAUCGGCGACGACCUUCAGUCGGUGAAGAUGGUGGAGGAUUGUAUCAGCAUGUGUCCCUUUUUCCACGUUUAUUUUAACACGUUUCAUAGUAGGCCUGAGCAUUUUAACAUGGACCCGAAGAUCCGAACCGGAACCGACUCAAAAAUACCCGAUCCGGAACCGGACCCCAUGGUCUGUAUAUUAGGUUAUCAAUCUCCAAUCCAUGGAGUUCGUUCACCCACCCACCAAUUUCGAAAUCGGUAAAACUACUCAUAACGCGACGGCGAUCAUGAGCACUGUGGUUGCAGGUCACCCAAAUUCAGAUUCCACCUCUACAACGGUUAUGGAGACGGUGAACGGUUCGCACCAGUUCACGAUCAAGGGCUACUCUCUAGCCAAAGGCAUGGGCCCAGGGAGAUACAUACAGAGCGACGUCUUCUCAAUCGCCGGAUACGAUUGGGCGAUCUACUUCUACCCGGACGGGAAGAACCCUGAGGACAACUCGGCGUACGUCUCUCUCUUCAUCGCUUUAGCGAGUGAUUCUAGCGACAUUAGGGCUUUGUUCGAGCUCACGUUGGUGGAUCAGAGUGGUAAAGGGAGGCACAAGGUGCAUAGUCACUUUGAUCGGACGCUUGAAGGUGGUCCUUAUACGCUUAAGUGUAAAGGAAGCAUGUGGUGAGUUUCUGGUUUCUUGUAAUGGUUUGUGUUCUGUUUGAAUUGCAUGUUUGUGUUGAAGAAGAGAGCUGUUGUUAUUGGUUUCAUGUCUAUGUCUGAAGCAGUUCUGUAAUGUUUUAGAACUAUUGUUAGAUUUUGGAGACUAUAAACAUUUUAGUAUAAUUUUUUUAUAAAAGAAUUUAUAAUUUAGGGGCCGCCAAAUCUAUAUUUAUAUUAGUUCUUUAAAAUUUGAGGAUUAAUGUGAAUGUUUCAUCCGGCUGGGUCCAGAACCGGCCUUCAUUGUUGUUGUUAGUUUCAUGUCUGAAUCACUUCUGUAAUGUUUGUUUAUCUUCUACUUGAAUUGCAUGUAUGUGUUGCAGAAGGGAAAUGUUUUAAUUGGUUACAUGUCUGAAUCACUUCUGCAGUGUUUAUCUUCUGUUUUAAUUGCUGCUGAAGAAAGGAACUGUUGUUAAUGUUUUAAUGUCCGAAGCACUUCUGUAAUGUUUAUCUUUUUCUUGAAUUGCAUGUUGGUGUUGAAGAAGGGAACUUUUGUUAUUGGCUUCAUGUCGGAAACACUCCAGAACUAGGGAACAUUAUGCAUGUGUUCUGUAAUUACAUAGUUUAACUCGUCGUCUGCAUCAUUUGUUGAGUUAUUUUCAUUGAACUACAUAUCUAAGAUGAGAUCUCCUUCUAAUGUGACUUAUCAUAACGAGUUUCAGGGGUUACAAACGCUUUUUAAGAAGAACAGCUUUAGAAGCCUCUGACUACUUGAAGGAUGAUUCUCUUGUCAUCAAUUGUACAGUUGGUGUUGUCAGAGCUAGGCUUGAGGGUCCGAAACAGUUUGGCAUUGUGCUGCCCUCGUCUGAUAUGGGUCAGGGAUUGAAAGACUUGCUAGAUUCUGAAGUUGGCUGCGACAUAGCUUUCCAAGUCGGAGAUGAGACUUACAAAGCUCACAAACUCAUCCUCGCAGCACGCUCGCCGGUUUUUAGAGCUCAGUUCUAUGGACCAAUUGGGAAUAACAACGUGGAGAGGAUAGUGAUAGAGGACAUCGAGCCAUCUAUCUUUAAGGUAAUGUUAUGUUCAAAUAGCACAUUGUGGAUGGAUAGUUUUACUGACUUGGAUUGUGGAGAUUUUUGUAGGCUAUGCUUAGCUUCAUCUACACCGAUGUACUCCCUGAUGUGCACGAGAUUACGGGGUCAGCUUCUUCGAGCUUAAUCACGAACAUGAUACAGCAUCUCUUGGCGGCUGCUGACCUCUAUGACCUUGGAAGGUUAAAGGUGUUAUGUGAAGUUUUUCUGUGUGAGAAACUAAAUGUUGAUAAUGUGGCAACAACACUUGCACUGUCUGAACAGUACCAACUGUCAGAGCUCAAAGCCUUCUGCUUAAAAUUUGUUACAUCUCCAGGAAACUUGCGAGGUGAGUGUUGCAUAUAUAUUGAGUUUCAUUUUUGUUUUCCAGUCUGCAUUUUUAUAUGCCUAUGUCGUAUAUAUAUCAGGUUUAUACAUACUACUAAUACUGUAAGCUUUGUUUGAGAGUGCUGCCAUGAAAUUUUUGUUAAUAACCUACUUUUAUUUUGGGAAGCAAUAGGUAAUUGAGAGAACAAUGAAGUAGUCCAUAUGUUAUAAAGAUUCCAGAUGAAAUUUAAGCCUUUUUGUUUCUCUCGUAUAAUGAUCAUCUGGUUCUGUGUGUUUUCUUUGAUCCGGUGUAUAUAUUGGCAUGUGGUGCUUGUUCCAAUAAUGUGUAAUGUAUUAUUAUUUAUCGAAGUUAUGUGAGCUAAUUCGUUAUUUUUGUGUAUUUUACUUAUAGUUUAUCUUGCUAGUCUACUGAAAUUUCUAGUUUCUUGUCUUAUGUUCAAUUUCGAUAUAGGAGACUCGAUGUUUGAUUAGACGGCCUGAAGUUUAUCGUCCUCAAUUAGGUGCGAAAAUUAUUUAUUUUUUUCGACGAGUUUUGUAGACCAACCAGUUUAAAGUCUACAAUGCCUAGGCAUAUGGGUAACUUAUCUUUGCACUCUGGAAGAUAGAGAUGUUUAAGGAAUGUCCUGGUCUUAAUGUUUUUUUUUAUUUCCUGGUCUUAAUGUUGAGUUUCAGCAAGUGCUGGUAUUCACAUCUAAAAGACAGUACAUACAUUUGCUGAACUUGACUGAAACCAGUAGAUAUAUGUAUAAUUUUUUUUACAAAUAUGGUGAACUUUUUUAUUAUGUUUCAAAGAUAUUAUCCCUGAAGAGAAUCCAGUAAAAAACUAAAAAGUAGGUGAUGUGUGUGUGCUGGUGCAGCUGUAAUGAAGUCUGAAGGGUUCAAGCACUUGAGCCAGAGCUGUCCCUCUAUGUUGUCUGAGCUGCUGAGCACGGUUGCAGCAGGGGAUAAGAUCUUGACGAGUGAACAAGCUAGCAAGAAAAGAAGUCUGUGUAGUAGUGUGUUAGCCUAUGAUACAAAUGCUGCGAGGCAACUGAGGAGGAGGACAUAGGGGUCCGAUCCAAAUGCAAUGGAACUUUGCGCAGGUCAGCUUACUUUUACUGAUCUGGAAGCAAAGCAGACACCGAAUCUGGUUUUGCUAGAGUUUUAUUGCAAUGGAAUAAUUUGUUCCUAGUAUGUCAACUGUAGUAUAAAGUGUUUAGGCAAAAGACCUCUCUUUUUCUUUGUCCUUCUUUAAGUUCUCUUCAGUUUUUGAACUUGGCUUUGUGUGAUUAUUAGAAGCAUAUGCUAUGCACUCUUAAUUAACAGUCUUAUGAAAGGGAGAAAUGUUUAACU
Molecule: long non-coding RNA, 6976 nt
Filed under: Brassica napus (rape)
Lineage: Eukaryota; Viridiplantae; Streptophyta; Magnoliopsida; Brassicales; Brassicaceae
Description: long non-coding RNA (BNAP_LNC013073)
Source: RNAcentral